GUGUAAGUGCAGUAAUGUAUUUAGCUGACCGGUACUAAUAGGUCGAGGACUUGACCUUACUAC
This 63-nucleotide ribosomal RNA is filed under the name Feifania hominis. RNAcentral's name for it is "Clostridiales bacterium BX7 partial 23S ribosomal RNA". The record is from RNAcentral. Lineage: Bacteria; Bacillati; Bacillota; Clostridia; Eubacteriales; Feifaniaceae.